RNAcentral lists this ribosomal RNA (90 nucleotides) under Bacillota bacterium. The record is from RNAcentral. Lineage: Bacteria; Bacillati; Bacillota.
ACCUGUUCCCAUCCCGAACACAGUAGUUAAGCCCUUCAGCGGUGAUGGUACUGCCGCAUCCCGCGGCGGGAGAGUAACUCGCUGCCAAGA